UAAUAUAUUUAUAUCAAAGAGAUCGCGUAUUGAAUAAUGAUGCAGCAGCCCCGGCCCGACCCAGUCUGACGGCGUGGGAUUAGAGUUACAUAAAAAGUUACUGUCUGUUGUUUUUAAACUCUCAUUUUUCCGCGGAUCUCAAACAAGCUUGCAUUUAUUAUCAUCUGCACCUCUACCAGGGGUUUAUAGUGACAGGGCUCGCUACGCUACGACUUAAAAAUAUGUAUGAAGGUGGCGCCUCUAGCGGUCGCUUGAAGAACUAACAUUGCUACCAUAAGUCAUCACGUAAACCUAACGAAAUCGCUAACAAGGGACGUUAAUACAUAACCAUUAAUAUUAAUAUUUCUUUAUCUAUUAUCUAUGCAAAGAAUAUUUCCAUAGAAUUGAUAUCUACUAAUUUUUAAUUUAAUAAGUAAUUACUUCGCGGAGUACUUAUUAAAUCUGUGAAUAUUUCCAAUCUCAUUUGUAUUCCGACAUUUCAAAAAGUUUUUACUACGUAUUUUUGGCUCUAUGAAAAUAACAAGAUAAAACUCACGUUUCAUGUCAUGCAUAUAGCAUGGAAUAUGUUAACUGAAGAUGAAAGUAGUGAAAAAAUAAAUUUUAGAAAGUUAAUUGGAAAUCCCCUUAGGCAUUAUCUUCUUAAUGACCUGUUGUAUACUGAUGGAAGUGAAAAAUACUGUAAAAUUGGUGGCUGUCAUCGCGUCCACGCAGCGCAACGAGCGGGCGAGCCUUCAAGCGGGCGUCUGAUGUCACUGGAACAGAACGUCAACAGCGCGCGCCCCCCGCCCCGGGUGAGUUCAAAUAUUUUCAAUUUGAAUACAAUAUGACAUAAAGUUCAUAUUAUGCAACUUUAUUUGCUCUCGACUUAAUAAAAACAAAACCGGCCUAGUACCAGCCAGGCUUGCGCACGAGGGGUUCCUAACACUAUUUAUAAAAACGGCAAAAGACAAAACGUUUAUUAUAUAGGAUCCCUAGGGUUUUUUUUGUUUGUGAUAUAGCGGUAACAGAAAUACAUCCUCUGUGAAAAUUUUAAUGGUCUCAGUAUGACGGUUCAUAAGGUUUAGUGGUGACAUAAGGACAGACAGACAGACGAUGGACAACGGAGAUAGCAAUAGGGACUCGUUUUACCCUAUGGGUAUAGAACCCUAAAAAUUUUCAAAUGGCAAUGAUUUUUCAUUGCAGUAAGAAGCCUUUGUAUGUAGAUGUAGAGGCACCUUCCCAAAAGUAUUCAAAUGUAUUUUUUGUUGGAAUUUACAUUUGUCAUCUCAAUGGAUCGCUAAUAUACGUUUUUGUAAAACUAUUCAUUUACUAGCUUUUACUUGCGGCUUCGCUCGCGUCGACUUCCCGCGGGAGUGGUUUUUUUUUUAAAUAUAAAAGCUACGUGAAAAUUAUUACAAUCUGAAUCUAAUCAAUUAGUUUUAUAAGUAAAUGAAAUGACUUGUUACAAAUUCACUUUUCAACGCUUUCCUUACAGUUCAGUUCGUAUAGUUUCCUUAUUCUAUACGGGAGUUCCAUCAAGUGGCCCGCUAAAUGGAACUCCCACAUGAAUAAUUAGGUUUUUGUUGUUUCUCUAUCCUUUCUUUGGUCAGGAUAUUGACACAGAAUCCACCAUCAAAAGGAAGCAAAAUAGUGAAAAACAGAUUGCUGUUCAAAUAAAACAGUAAUCGGCAACCUGUGGACCGAUCGGGUGGAUCGAUCGGGCGACCGGUCGCGCGACGUGUUGCUCGUACGGACGUCGACCGGGUCGCUGAUGUUCGUGAGUCGCGGCUGCUCCGAGCCACGGACCGCAUCAGCUAUGGACCACACCUAAGAGUAUAUACUCUCUCUCAGAAGUUGUUAAAUGUUAGGAGAAAGAACUGAACAGAAAGUUUUUGAAUUUUAAUUAAAGUUUGUGGAAAUUAAUGUAA
Molecule: long non-coding RNA, 1907 nt
Organism: Plodia interpunctella (Indianmeal moth)
Lineage: Eukaryota; Metazoa; Arthropoda; Insecta; Lepidoptera; Pyralidae
Exons: 3
Source: RefSeq, a predicted model, not a curated record